This 490-nucleotide ribosomal RNA is filed under the name uncultured bacterium. RNAcentral's name for it is "partial 16S ribosomal RNA". It matches the Rfam family "Bacterial small subunit ribosomal RNA", at positions 899 to 1397 of the family's 1533-position model. The record is from RNAcentral.
ACUCAAAUGAAUUGACGGGGGCCCGCACAAGCAGCGGAGCGUGUGGUUUAAUUCGAUGCUAAGCGAAGAACCUUACCUGGGCAUGACAUGCUAGAAGUAGGAACCUGAAAGGGGGACGACCUGUCAAGUCAGGAGCUAGCACAGCUGUUGCAUGGCUGUCGUCAGCUCGUGCCGUGAGGUGUUGGGUUAAGUCCCGCAACGAGCGCAACCCUUGUCGCCAGUUACAUGUAUCUGGCGAAACUGCUCCGCAUAACGGAGAGGAAGGUGGGGAUGACGUCAAGUCAGCAUGGCGCUUACGUCCAGGGCUACACACACGCUACAAUGGUCGGUACAGAGGGUCGCUAAAGCGCAAGCUGGAGCUAAUCCCAUCAAAACCGGCCCCAGUUCAGAUUGCAGGCUGAAACCCGCCUGCAUGAAGUCGGAGCUGCUAGUAACCGCAUAUCAGCAUGGUGCGGUGAAUACGUUCCCGGGCCUUGCACACACCGCCCGU